Long non-coding RNA from Ictalurus punctatus (channel catfish), 2543 nucleotides. NCBI's taxonomy places the organism in Eukaryota, Metazoa, Chordata, Actinopteri, Siluriformes, Ictaluridae. The record is from Ensembl.
GUCCAAAGUUUGUUUAAUUACUAGUGGUGAUUUACAGAACAGUGCAAAGGUUUUAGGCACAUGUAAAGAAAUAAGGUAAUGGGAAUAUGAUUUAAAUAUAAAUAUAAAGAAAACAACUAUAAAGGAUAGAAGACUAAUUUGAAGAUUUGGUGUGACAAUCUUUUGCAUUUAUAACUGCACCAAUUCUCUUAGGGAUCCCUGUUGAGCAGUUUUAUCAUUUUAAAAGGAAAUCAGCUGCUAGAGUGUUCACACAUCAACAUGUCCUGGGUUUUCAGUAGACUUUGGCUCCCACUUGCUUCUAUCUCUGCAGAUCUAAGACAAAUGCAACAAUGUUUUAAUGUGAGACACAGACUAUUACUUUAUAUGUUGGUUUCUUUACAUUUUAUUGACAUCUUGUUGGUGUCAUCUUACUGCUUGUUGGUGUCAAGCCAUUGGUGUCAGGCCAUUGUCCACAAGAUUCUUACAAAACCUGUACAGAAUCUCAUUGCUGAAAGGUAUCGAUUAGGAAAGGAUUAGAAAAUAAUUUCCAGAACAUUACAGUUGUGCUUAAAAGUUUGUUAACCCUUAUAUUUCUUCAUAAAUAUAGCCUAAAACUUAAUAAGAUGAGGUAAUGAUCAGGUGUUUUCAAUCAAUGGGAUGACAAUCAGGUGUGAGUGACCACCCUGUUCUAUUUAAAGAACAGGGGUAUAUCAAAGUCUGCGCUUCACAUCACAUGGCAUGAACAAAGGAGAUUUCUGAGGAACUCAGAAAAAGAGUUGUUGAUGCUCAUCAGGUUGGAAAAGGUUACAAAAUCUAAAGAGUUUGGACUCCAGCAAUCCAAAGUUAGCUGGACUGUGUUCAAAUGGAGGAAAUUCAAGACUAUUAUUAUCCUCCCCAGGAGUGGUCGACCAACAAAGAUCACUCCAAGAGCAAGACGUGUAAUAGUCUGUGAGUUCACAAAAGAACCCAGGGUAACAUCUAAGCAACUAAAGGCCUCUCUCACAUUGGGUAAUGUUAAUGUUUGAGUCCACCAUCAGGAGAACACUGAACAACAAUGGUGUGCAUAGCAGGGUUGCAAGGAGAAAACCAUUGCUCUCCAAAAAGAGCAUUGCUAUCCUUGUGCAGUUUGGUAAAGAUGAUGUGGACAAGCCAGAAGGCUACUAGAAGAUGUUUUGUGGAUGGAUCAGACCAAAAUCGAAAUUUUGGUUUAAACAAGAAGCAUUAUGUUUGGAGAAAACUGCAUUCCAGCAUAAGAACCUUAUUCCAUCUGUAAAACAUGCUAGUGGUAGUAUCAUGGUUUGGUCCUUUUUUGCUGCAUCUGGGCCAGGUCGACUUGCCAUCAUUGAUGGAACAAUGAAUUUGGAAUUAUACCAGUGAGUUAUAAUGGAAAAUGUCAGGACAUCUGUACGUGAUAUGAAUCUCAAGAGACAGUGGGUCAUGCAGCAAGACAACGACUCUAAGCACACAAGUCGUUGUUGUAGAAUGGUUAAAGAAGUAUAAAUUAAUGUUUUGGAAUGGCCAAUUCAAAGUCCGCACCUGAAUUCAAUAGAAAUGUUGUGGAAGGAACUGAAUCAAGCAGUUCAUGUGAGGAAACCCAUCAAAAUCUCAGAGUUGAAGCUGUUCUGUACUGAGGAAUGGGCUAAAAUUCCUCCAAGCUGAUGUGCAGGAUUGAUCAACACGUUUAGUUGCAGUAAUUGCUGCACCAGAUACUGAAAACAAAGGUUCAUAUACUUUUGCCUCUCAGAUAUGUAAUAUUGUACCAUUUUCCUCAAUAAAUAAAUGACCAAGUAUAAUAUUUUGUGUCAAUUUUUUGUUUGGAUUCUCACUGACUACACUGACUUGUGGGAAAAUCUGAUGUCAUAUUUUUGCAGAAAUAUAGAAAAUUCAAAAGGGUUCACAAACUUUCAAGCACCACUUUAGAUGUACCAUGGAACACCUUAAAGGCUUUUAUCAACAAGUAUAGAAAAUGGGGUAAAAAAAGUGUAUGUCUGCACACUGAUCAUGUCACACUAUUGGUACUUUACUUAGUCAUAUACAUUGCUUUGACUAGUUCUGGGAACUUGCUUUUCUUAAAACUACUUUGCAUUUAAAUUUUUUCAUCAGCAAUUUUAACUGCUGUUUGUGUUGGCCUCGCUUCUGCAUUUAUCUGCACAAAUGUAAAGAAGGAAGCACAUUCAAAUUGACCCUCUUUUGCAUCAUGGUUUCCUAGGAGAACGAAUGCAUCCAUUCAGUAAGAGAAUAAAAAAAACAGUGAAGAGGGAGAAAACAUGCACAGGCAAUGCAUGCUGAUGAGCGUCACAGUGGCUCUCUAAUCUGGUCAACAGGAGAAAUGUUGCAUUUCCAGAAUGAGGAUAAGUAUGAUAUAUUCGGGAAGCACCACAGCAGAGGAGCAUGGGGCAUCUGCACCUCCACUCCCUGGCGGCACGAGGGAGAACGAGUGCAGUUGUUAUGCUCGGCACGUUCUGUGCUGGCAGAUCUCUCUGGACUGUUGGAGCCCAUUAAAAUGUCUUGUAGUACAGGAUAAUCCUUUUGCUUGGAGCCGGGCACGGCAAUGCAUCAGGAAG